AGUAGUCACGAGUUUGAUCAGUGGCUCAGAACAACGCUGGCGGCACGCCUAACACAUGCAAGUCGAACGAGACCUUCGGGUCUAGUGGCGCACGGGUGCGUAACGCGUGGGAACCUGCCUUUAGGUUCGGAAUAACUCAGAGAAAUUUGAGCUAAUACCGGAUAAUGUCUUCGGACCAAAGAUUUAUCGCCUUUAGAUGGGCCCGCGUUGGAUUAGCUAGUUGGUGGGGUAAAGGCCUACCAAGGCGACGAUCCAUAGCUGGUCUGAGAGGAUGAUCAGCCACACUGGGACUGAGACACGGCCCAGACUCCUACGGGAGGCAGCAGUGGGGAAUAUUGGACAAUGGGCGAAAGCCUGAUCCAGCAAUGCCGCGUGAGUGAUGAAGGCCUUAGGGUUGUAAAGCUCUUUACCCGAGAUGAUAAUGACAGUAUCGGGAGAAUAAGCUCCGGCUAACUCCGUG
RNAcentral lists this ribosomal RNA (460 nucleotides) under uncultured bacterium. RNAcentral's name for it is "bacterial SSU rRNA". It matches the Rfam family "Bacterial small subunit ribosomal RNA", at positions 1 to 507 of the family's 1533-position model. The record is from RNAcentral.